Molecule: ribosomal RNA, 478 nt
Filed under: uncultured bacterium
Lineage: Bacteria
Description: partial 16S ribosomal RNA
Rfam family: Bacterial small subunit ribosomal RNA
Source: RNAcentral
GAUGAACGCUGGCGGCGUGCUUAACACAUGCAAGUCGAACGGGAAACCUUUUAUUGAAGCUUCGGCAGAUUUAGCUGGUUUCUAGUGGCGGACGGGUGAGUAACGCGUGGGUAACCUGCCUUAUACAGGGGGAUAACAACCAGAAAUGGUUGCUAAUACCGCAUAAGCGCACAGGACCGCAUGGUCCGGUGUGAAAAACUCCGGUGGUAUAAGAUGGACCCGCGUUGGAUUAGCUAGUUGGCAGGGUAACGGCCUACCAAGGCGACGAUCCAUAGCCGGCCUGAGAGGGUGAACGGCCACAUUGGGACUGAGACACGGCCCAGACUCCUACGGGAGGCAGCAGUGGGGAAUAUUGCACAAUGGGGGAAACCCUGAUGCAGCGACGCCGCGUGAAGGAAGAAGUAGCUCGGUAUGUAAACUUCUAUCAGCAGGGAAGAUAGUGACGGUACCUGACUAAGAAGCCCCGGCUAACUACGUG